Long non-coding RNA from Juglans microcarpa x Juglans regia, 673 nucleotides. RefSeq lists it as uncharacterized. The transcript is spliced from 2 exons. NCBI's taxonomy places the organism in Eukaryota, Viridiplantae, Streptophyta, Magnoliopsida, Fagales, Juglandaceae. The record is from RefSeq and is a predicted model, not a curated record.
GAAAUUUCUUUUCGUCUCUCUCUCUCUCCUCUCUGCUCUCGCUCAGAAGCCUGCCCCUCUUCUUUCAUUUUCAGUGGCCAGCCACCGUGCAUUGUGCCGGUCGAGCCCACCCAGCCCAGACCUCCGCCGGCGUGGGAACAAGGGCUCCGUCGAAGGUUUCAAAACCACAUAUCUCAGAGAGGGACCCCUUUUCGUUUCCUUUCGUCUCCACCUCUCCUGAGCGCCUUCGAAGGUGAGGAUACUUCUCUCUCCAUCUACUUCGUCUUUCUCUCUCUAACUCUCUCCUUGUCUUUCUUUCUGUCUGGAGUUUGGGCUAUUUGGGAGAAAUCACAGCAGGGUGCUGCCGCUGUCGUCGUCUCGCACAAGCCCCCCUCCCAAGCCUCCAGGUACUUCGAUUCCUUUCGCAUCAGUUUUUCCUUUAGGUGAUUUUGAUGUUUUGUACAGUUGAGGAAAAGAAAAGCCAGAUUGGUGCUAAAAGUAUGCACAUUGGAGAAAACAAGAAAAUGAGACUACUUAGAUUAGAAUCUUGGAUUCUCUUGUAUUCUAGGAAUGUCGUUUCGAUUCGUUAAAAAAUAAAAAAUAAAAAGAGGCUGCUUUGUAAUGUUGUAUCCAAUUGGAAUGAAUAUUAUGACUCAAUAUUUUACCAGAUGACUUAAUCCAAGGAUUGUUAUUU